This 102-nucleotide small nucleolar RNA is filed under the name Gossypium hirsutum (cotton). RNAcentral describes it as "Plant small nucleolar RNA R71". It matches the Rfam family "Plant small nucleolar RNA R71". Rfam says of the family: R71 is a member of the C/D box family of snoRNAs containing the C (UGAUGA) and D (CUGA) box motifs. Multiple nearly identical copies of this snoRNA have been identified in Arabidopsis, and it is thought to function as a 2'-O-ribose methylation guide for 18S ribosomal RNA. Lineage: Eukaryota; Viridiplantae; Streptophyta; Magnoliopsida; Malvales; Malvaceae. The record is from Rfam by way of RNAcentral.
AACCCAUGGUGAGGGCACCGUCUCAAUAAAUCCUUAUAGCUCUCCCAUGCAUCCUAUAAAGUCUCUAAAUUGAUUUGCGCAAAGAGUUCAACCACUGUUUAU